UGCGUAGGCGGGUUUCUAAGUCAGAGGUGAAAGCCUGGAGCUCAACUCCAGAACUGCCUUUGAUACUGGAAGUCUUGAGUAUGGCAGAGGUGAGUGGAACUGCGAGUGUAGAGGUGAAAUUCGUAGAUAUUCGCAAGAACACCGGUGGCGAAGGCGGCUUUCUGGACUGUAACUGACACUGAGGCUCGAAAGCGUGGGGAGCGAACA
RNAcentral lists this ribosomal RNA (207 nucleotides) under uncultured bacterium. RNAcentral describes it as "partial 16S ribosomal RNA". It matches the Rfam family "Bacterial small subunit ribosomal RNA", at positions 568 to 774 of the family's 1533-position model. The record is from RNAcentral.